RNAcentral lists this ribosomal RNA (647 nucleotides) under uncultured bacterium. Its description in RNAcentral is "bacterial SSU rRNA". It matches the Rfam family "Bacterial small subunit ribosomal RNA", at positions 186 to 851 of the family's 1533-position model. The record is from RNAcentral.
GGGCAUCCCGAUGCAGCCAAAGGAGCAAUCCGCUGGAAGAUGGGCUCGCGGCCGAUUAGCUAGUUGGUGGGGCAACGGCCCACCAAGGCGACGAUCGGUAGCCGGACUGAGAGGUUGAUCGGCCACAUUGGGACCGAGACACGGCCCAGACUCCUACGGGAGGCAGCAGUGGGGGAUAUUGCACAAUGGAGGAAACUCUGAUGCAGCGACGCCGCGUGAGGGAAGACGGUCUUCGGAUUGUAAACCUCUGUCUUUGGGGAAGAAAAUGACGGUACCCAAAGAGGAAGCUCCGGCUAACUACGUGCCAGCAGCCGCGGUAAUACGUAGGGAGCGAGCGUUGUCCGGAAUUACUGGGUGUAAAGGGAGCGUAGGCGGGCGAGAAAGUUGAAUGUUAAAUCUACCGGCUUAACUGGUAGCUGCGUUCAAAACUUCUUGUCUUGAGUGAAGUAGAGGCAGGCGGAAUUCCUAGUGUAGCGGUGAAAUGCGUAGAUAUUAGGAGGAACACCAGUGGCGAAGGCGGCCUGCUGGGCUUUAACUGACGCUGAGGCUCGAAAGCGUGGGGAGCAAACAGGAUUAGAUACCCUGGUAGUCCACGCUGUAAACGAUGAUUACUAGGUGUGGGGGGACUGACCCCUUCCGUGCCGCAG